Molecule: ribosomal RNA, 420 nt
Filed under: Salmonella enterica
Lineage: Bacteria; Pseudomonadati; Pseudomonadota; Gammaproteobacteria; Enterobacterales; Enterobacteriaceae
Also listed under: 1 other name
Description: partial 16S ribosomal RNA
Rfam family: Bacterial small subunit ribosomal RNA
Source: RNAcentral
AAAUUGAAGAGUUUGAUCAUGGCUCAGAUUGAACGCUGGCGGCAGGCCUAACACAUGCAAGUCGAACGGUAACAGGAAGCAGCUUGCUGCUUUGCUGACGAGUGGCGGACGGGUGAGUAAUGUCUGGGAAACUGCCUGAUGGAGGGGGAUAACUACUGGAAACGGUGGCUAAUACCGCAUAACGUCGCAAGACCAAAGAGGGGGACCUUCGGGCCUCUUGCCAUCAGAUGUGCCCAGAUGGGAUUAGCUUGUUGGUGAGGUAACGGCUCACCAAGGCGACGAUCCCUAGCUGGUCUGAGAGGAUGACCAGCCACACUGGAACUGAGACACGGUCCAGACUCCUACGGGAGGCAGCAGUGGGGAAUAUUGCACAAUGGGCGCAAGCCUGAUGCAGCCAUGCCGCGUGUAUGAAGAAGGCCU